CGCUUCGUCCAUACCAUCCCUUCUUCCAUCCUCCCCCCUUCCCGCUCGCCGCCGCGCCCAUCACUUUUCAUCUCAGACCAGCGCCGCCUCUGUCGGCUCCGUUGUCCGAGUUAUACGAUGGGCUCCUAGGGACCAUCCUCUCGGCGGCGAACGGGAAGAGGGGGGAUGGAAGAAGGGCGCGUGGAUGGCAGCAGCGGUGAAAACCGUGGACGCGACCUAGCAAAUCCUCGUGCCUCCACGCAAAUUCACCCCUCCGCCCAGACAUGGUCCUCUUCUCCCCUUCCACGUCGACAGAGGGCUCCGAUGGAGGACGACUGCAGGUCGCUGAGGCAAAGCACAAACGACGGCCACCAUCGGCGGCCGCGCACCGGAUCUGGGCAGGGAGGGCCCGAGCAUGAUUGCCGGGCACUGAGGCAACCGCCGGUGACGGCGAUGGCUCCAUGUUGUUCAUGACCACCAUCGGCAUCCACGCUCCGGAUCUGGGCAGGGAGGGACCGAUAUGGGGUUGGAGAUUUGGGCCCAUGGCGUGGCGGCGUGUCCUCUCCCUGGGUUUCAAAAAUUCGAGUACAUGAAUUCUCUGCAAGCACGAUGCAUUAUGUGUAUUUUUAUCUUAGGUACAUCUUUCUUUCCAACAAAGGUACACACAUGUUUCUUCAUGGAUCCAACUACAUGAACAUGGAGGAAGUUGAUCAUACAGUCAUCAUAGUUUACUGAACUGGGCUAUGUUCUUGUUGGGAGACAUAUUGAGGAUAAAGGAAAAGGUAGAUCACGAUGGCGAGCACGGCGAGCUGCGGAGGAACAUGGCAAGCUACGACGAAGCACGGCGAGCUGCAGAGAAGCAUGGCGAGCUACCGAGGAGCAAUGACGUCUCAGACAUGUUCGCAGGAGCUCCACAAGUUCCGGGCGGAUGGAGGCAGUGACUGGCAGCUGGGGAGGAGGAGCACGGGUGGGUGCGGCACCUGGCCGAGGCAGCGGCGUGCACCUGAUCACUUGAGGCGGAGAGGGCUUCAGCGCUGGAGGCGUGCACCUGCCCAGCUCGAGGUGGAGAUAGUGGGGUGUUCGAGCAACGUGGGGGUUUCAGCUUUAAAUAUUGGAAAUUAACCAUCACUUCGCUCAUCUUGGCAUUGUGCCAGAUUGAAAUCACCUCUCCCGAAGUUGCGCCUCAGCUCAACAUUGCCACGCCUGAAUAUCUGCUCCAGCUCGGCAGUGGAAACACAGCAGCUGCUCGACGGCACACACUCAGGUAAUUGACAGAAUGCUAUGUAGACAUUCACUCGUAAUUUUGGUCGUGGGCUGGCUUGUGUUCAUUUUAGUUGAUGAUAUUCUGCUGUAGAUGCAUUGUUGGAUUGCACAAACAGGCUAAUUGACAGUGGAACUCGAAUUUUGUGUUGGAUUAGUGGGUAUUACCGAUCCUCAUCAAAUUUGUUGUUCAACUCAUACGCGUUAAAAUUUUGUGACUGAAUUGGUAAUCUAAUUUUCUAAGAUGUGGCUUUUCUCUAUAUGUUCAGUUCAGUUAAUGAAGAAAUUUCGACUGUCCUUGAAUUGGUGCUUUGCUCUCUGGAAUAAUUUUCCUAAUAGCACGAAACAAAUGAGUUGUGUGUUUACUGCUGUGGCCAUUUGUUUUAAUACCUCUCAUGGUACAACAUAUGCUGAUGUCUUAAUAGCAUGAAACCUCUGAAUGUAGUUCAAGAUACACUGGUGAAACAAGAAAUCGGGGAUGAACUCCGCAACAGGAGGAACACAUAAUGUCAGCUUGCAGAUUUUGGUGAGUUCAAUGCUCAUUCUUGGUUAUAUAUUUUAAUUAGGCACUGCAGAUAGUAACUGAAAUGAUGCAUAUGUAGAAUGUUGUCAGCACUGCGAGUGGCAUCAACAUAUAUUUGGAGAGGCCAAUUUGGUCACCUUCUGGUGCUUAUAACAAUUAUGCUAGCUCCGAGACUGACACCAAGCAAAGUCAUGCCGUCAACAAACAUGUUCUGGAUGGACCUUUUGUUAUUGGUUGUCAAGAUUCAAAUGCUAAUGCCUUACUUCCCUAGAAAAUUAUUCCUGGAAAAGGAAGUGAAGUUUUAGAGUAAGCAUAGCUAAGGAGUUGUGCAGUACAUAGGAUAGUACCAGGAAUAGUACCUUCAAGUUGAUUGAGAAACCAGAUGUAUAGGGCCAUAAAUAUUCUAAUGGCGAUUGCAUUGUUUGUAAUUUAAAUAUACAACCAUUCAAAGGAAUGUAUUGUGCAUGCAAAGGUAGUCUCAUGAUUUUGUUUAUUCAAGCACAUUCAUUUUAUUACAGU
Lolium perenne is the source of this 2281-nucleotide long non-coding RNA. RefSeq lists it as uncharacterized. The record is from RefSeq and is a predicted model, not a curated record. NCBI's taxonomy places the organism in Eukaryota, Viridiplantae, Streptophyta, Magnoliopsida, Poales, Poaceae.